This 203-nucleotide ribosomal RNA is filed under the name uncultured bacterium. RNAcentral describes it as "partial 16S ribosomal RNA". It matches the Rfam family "Bacterial small subunit ribosomal RNA", at positions 524 to 734 of the family's 1533-position model. The record is from RNAcentral.
UACGUAGGGUGCGAGCGUUAAUCGGAAUUACUGGGCGUAAAGCGUGCGCAGGCGGUUCGCCAAGUCAGGUGUGAAAUCCCGGCUACUGGAUGCGCUGAACUAGCGGGCGUAGAGUGUGGCAGAGGGGGGUGGGAAUUCCACGUGUAGCAGUGAAAUGCGUAGAGAUGUGGAGGAACACCGAUGGCGAAGGCAGCCCCUCGGGU